CAACACUCACAGCUCACGCUUCUUCUUUCUCUCUCUCUCGUGUUCUAACCUUUUUUUUUUUGCAAAGAAUUCAAAAUACAAUCCAAACUUCAACUCUACACCUCUUGUUUCUAUAAUUUCCUGCUGAAAGAUUUUGCUGAAUUAAUGGAGCAUACAGAUACUAGCAACACAAAUUCAGAGAAUGACGAAGGUGACAUGGAAACUACUGCUAUAACUGAUGGAGAUCAAAUGGCAAAUAUUAGAGAAAAUAUUGAUGAUAUGGGGCAAAUCAAAAUACUCCUCAUUAGUAUAUUCUUAGUUUAAUUUUUGUUGUAUUUGGAUAUUUGUUUUUAAUGUUUUAAGACCUCCAAAUAUUUAGAAAAAAAGUCUACA
Molecule: long non-coding RNA, 372 nt
Organism: Capsella rubella
Lineage: Eukaryota; Viridiplantae; Streptophyta; Magnoliopsida; Brassicales; Brassicaceae
Exons: 3
Source: RefSeq, a predicted model, not a curated record